RNAcentral lists this ribosomal RNA (1950 nucleotides) under Triticum aestivum (bread wheat). RNAcentral's name for it is "partial small subunit ribosomal RNA". The record is from RNAcentral. Lineage: Eukaryota; Viridiplantae; Streptophyta; Magnoliopsida; Poales; Poaceae.
AUGGCGGCCGUGCGGGUGGCGGCGGUGGGGGUGCUGCUGGCGGCCGUGGCCGUCGCGGCGGCCGCGCUGAACACGGACGGCCUGGCGCUUCUCGCGCUCAAGUUCGCGGUGACCGAUGACCCUGGCAGUGGGCUCGACACCUGGAGGGACGCCGACCCCGACCCCUGCGGCUGGGCCGGCGUCACCUGCGUUGACGGCGGCGGGGGCCGGGUCGCCGGCGUGGAGCUCGCCAACCUCUCGCUCGCGGGCUACCUGCCCUCCGAGCUCUCCCUGCUAUCCGAGCUCGAGACGCUGUCGCUGCCGUCCAACCGCCUGUCCGGCCAGAUCCCGGUCGCCAUCUCCGCGCUGCAGAAGCUCACCACCCUCGACCUGGCGCACAACUUCCUGUCCGGCCAGAUUCCUGCCGGGAUUGGGAGGCUCGCUUCCUUGUCUCGCCUCGAUUUGUCCUCCAACCAGCUCAACGGGACGCUCCCGCCGUCCAUCGCGGGGCUUCCGCGUCUCUCCGGCGUGCUCAACCUCAGCUACAACCAUUUCGUCGGCGGGAUCCCGCCGGAGUUCGGCGGCAUUCCCGUGGCUGUCAGCCUUGACCUCCGGGGGAACGACCUCGCCGGCGAGAUCCCGCAGGUGGGCUCGCUCGUCAACCAGGGCCCCACCGCCUUCGACGACAACCCGAGGCUCUGCGGGUUUCCGCUCAAGAUCGAGUGCGCCGGAGAGAGGGAUGAGCCAAGAAUCCCGCAGUCGAACCCUGGCAUGAACCCUGGUGCAGCGGCGCAGGUUGGGAGGCCGCCGAAGCGUCGGUCGUCGCCCACGGUGCCGAUUCUGGCCGUCAUUGUGGUGGCGGCCAUCGUUGCCGGGCUAGUGCUGCAGUGGCAGUGCCGGAGGCGGUGCGCUGCAACGACCAGGAACGAGGACAAGGAGUCGUCCACCAAGGAGAAGAGCGCGGCGGUGACGCUCGCCGGCACUGAAGAGCGGCGCGGCGGCGGGGAGGAGGGGGAGCUCUUCGUGGCGGUGGACGACGGCUUCGGGAUGGAGCUGGAGGAGCUGCUCCGCGCGUCCGCUUACGUCGUGGGGAAGAGCCGCGGCGGCAUCGUGUACAGGGUCGUCCCCGGCCGCGGCACCGCCGUAGCCGUCCGCCGUCUCAGUGAGCCCGACGACGGCGAUGGCACUGAGUCCGGGUGGCGCCGGCGCCGUGCCUUCGAGGCCGAGGCUGCCGCCAUCGGCCGCGCGCGUCAUCCCAACGUCGCCCGCCUCCGCGCAUACUACUACGCCCCAGACGAGAAGCUGCUCAUCUACGACUACCUCGGCAAUGGCUCCCUCCACUCCUCCCUCCACGGUGGCCCGACGGCUUCGCCAACUCCAUUACCGUGGUCGGUGAGGCUGUCCAUCGUUCAGGGCGCGGCGAGGGGACUGGCAUACCUGCACGAGUGCAGCCCUCGCCGGUACGUGCACGGUUGCAUCAAGUCGUCCAAGAUCCUGCUCGACGACGAGCUCCGUCCGCACGUCUCGGGCUUCGGCCUCGCCCGCCUCGUCGCCGGCGCGCACAAGACGGCGCAGUCGAGGAAGCUCGGCAGCGCGGCGUGCGCGCUCCGCAGCGGCGCCCUGUCGGCGCUGUCGUACGUGGCGCCGGAGCUGCGCGCGCCGGGGGGCACGGCCGCGGCGGCGACGCAGAAAGGGGACGUGUUCGCGUUCGGGGUGGUGCUGCUGGAGGCGGUGACCGGGCGGCAGCCGACGGAGGGGGAGGGCGGGCAGGAGCUGGAGGCGUGGGUGCGGGGAGCCUUCAAGGAGGAGCGGCCGCUGUCGGAGGUGGUGGACCCGACGCUGCUCGGCGAGGUGCACGCCAAGAAGCAGGUCCUCGCCGUGUUCCACGUGGCGCUCGGCUGCACCGAGCCCGACCCCGAGCUGCGCCCCCGCAUGCGCGCCGUCGCCGAGAGCCUCGACCGGGUGAACUAA